Molecule: ribosomal RNA, 301 nt
Filed under: uncultured bacterium
Lineage: Bacteria
Description: partial 16S ribosomal RNA
Rfam family: Bacterial small subunit ribosomal RNA
Source: RNAcentral
CAGCCGCCGCGGUAAUACGUAGGUGGCAAGCGUUGUCCGGAAUUAUUGGGCGUAAAGGGCUCGUAGGCGGUUUCUUAAGUCUGAUGUGAAAGCCCCCGGCUCAACCGGGGGGGGUCAUUGGAAACUGGGAAACUUGAGUGCAGAAGAGGAGAGUGGAAUUCCACGUGUAGCGGUGAAAUGCGUAGAGAUGUGGAGGAACACCAGUGGCGAAGGCGACUCUCUGGUCUGUAACUGACGCUGAGGAGCGAAAGCGUGGGGAGCGAACAGGAUUAGAUACCCGCGUAGUCCCUGUCUCUUAUAC